AUUUUUACACAGGCAGGGGAGAUGCCAUGAUCAUGAAGAUGUUUUCCCACCCAGGGUGAGGCUUAUCCAUUUCAGGAUAAGCCCUGAAUGUAACCCCUGCAAAUUUCCAGAUAUGAAGAUUGUCAGCCCUAAUGAGCAUGUGUAAGCACAGCAACUAA
RNAcentral lists this small nuclear RNA (158 nucleotides) under Sorex araneus (European shrew). RNAcentral's name for it is "U1 spliceosomal RNA (ENSSARG00000019676.1)". The record is from RNAcentral. Lineage: Eukaryota; Metazoa; Chordata; Mammalia; Eulipotyphla; Soricidae.